RNAcentral lists this ribosomal RNA (406 nucleotides) under uncultured bacterium. RNAcentral's name for it is "partial 16S ribosomal RNA". It matches the Rfam family "Bacterial small subunit ribosomal RNA", at positions 30 to 526 of the family's 1533-position model. The record is from RNAcentral.
AUUGAACGCUGGCGGCAGGCCUAACACAUGCAAGUCGCACGAGUGGCGGACGGGUGAGUAAUGUCUGGGAAACUGCCCGAUGGAGGGGGAUAACUACUGGAAACGGUAGCUAAUACCGCAUACCAUCGGAUGUGCCCAGAUGGGAUUAGCUAGUAGGUGGGGUAACGGCUCACCUAGGCGACGAUCCCUAGCUGGUCUGAGAGGAUGACCAUCCACACUUGAACUGAUAAAAGGUCCAGACGCCUACGGGAGGAAGCAGUGGGGAAUACUGCACAAUGGGCGCAAGCCUGAUGCAGCCAUGCCGAGUGUAUGAAGAAGGCCUUCGGGUUGUAAAGUACUUUCAGCGGGGAGGCGUUACCCGCAGAAGAAGAACCGGCUAACGCCGUGCCAGCAGCCGCGGUAAUCC